UACGAAGGGGGCUAGCGUUGCUCGGAAUCACUGGGCGUAAAGGGUGCGUAGGCGGGUCUUUAAGUCAGGGGUGAAAUCCUGGAGCUCAACUCCAGAACUGCCUUUGAUACUGAGGAUCUUGAGUCCGGGAGAGGUGAGUGGAACUGCGAGUGUAGAGGUGAAAUUCGUAGAUAUUCGCAAGAACACCAGUGGCGAAGGCGGCUCACUGGCCCGAUACUGACGCUGAGGUGCGAAAGCGUGGGGAGCAAACAGG
This 253-nucleotide ribosomal RNA is filed under the name uncultured bacterium. RNAcentral describes it as "partial 16S ribosomal RNA". It matches the Rfam family "Bacterial small subunit ribosomal RNA", at positions 524 to 776 of the family's 1533-position model. The record is from RNAcentral.